GACGAACGCUGGCGGCGUGCUUAACACAUGCAAGUCGAACGGAAAGGCCCUGCUUGCAGGGUGCUCGAGUGGCGAACGGGUGAGUAACACGUGGGUGAUCUGCCCCUUACUUUGGGAUAAGCCUGGGAAACUGGGUCUAAUACUGGAUAGGACCAUGCUGUAGGUGGUGUGGUGGAAAGAUUAGUUUCGGUAAGGGAUGAGCUCGCGGCCUAUCAGCUUGUUGGUGGGGUAAUGGCCUACCAAGGCGUCGACGGGUAGCCGGCCUGAGAGGGUGGACGGCCACAUUGGGACUGAGAUACGGCCCAGACUCCUACGGGAGGCAGCAGUGGGGAAUAUUGCACAAUGGGCGCAAGCCUGAUGCAGCGACGCCGCGUGGGGGAUGACGGCCUUCGGGUUGUAAACUCCUUUCAGCCAUGACGAAGCCUUCGGGUGACGGUAGUGGUAGAAGAAGCACCGGCUAACUACGUG
RNAcentral lists this ribosomal RNA (468 nucleotides) under uncultured bacterium. RNAcentral's name for it is "partial 16S ribosomal RNA". It matches the Rfam family "Bacterial small subunit ribosomal RNA", at positions 28 to 507 of the family's 1533-position model. The record is from RNAcentral.